Molecule: non-coding RNA, 536 nt
Organism: Kogia breviceps (pygmy sperm whale)
Lineage: Eukaryota; Metazoa; Chordata; Mammalia; Artiodactyla; Physeteridae
Source: RefSeq, a predicted model, not a curated record
GGCACAGAGGGCAGGUAGCACCAGGCUGGGCUGGAAGAGGCCCUGGGCAGCAAAGUGCAGGCAGAAGGCGGAGAGGGACUUGGGCAGUAAGGCAGCACCCAGAGGAGAGAGGAGGGGAGGGGACACUGAGACUGAGGGGGAAAGGGAGUGGACGUUCCAGGAGAAGGGAAUGUACCUCGGCUUCUAUUUAUUUUUAUUUUGGACACGGCUCCAUGGUGAGAACGACUAAAGUACUCUGUGUUCUGGUUCUAGCUGUGCUGCCUUUCUUUUCUCCUUUUGAUGCAUUUUCUCAUGAGUCGAGGGAGCCGGAUGAACUGUGGUGCUUCGCAGAUGGAGAUGCGGACACACAAAGUAGACAGUGUGCAUCCUGCUAAGAGCCGGACACCAGGAUCUCCAAUCCCCGAGGGCUGGACGAUGGUGACGGUAUGGAAAGUUGAGUGAAAGCUGCAUAGGACAUCUGGAUACUACUUUUGCAACUUUUCUGUAUCGUGGAAAUCCCCCUGGUGGUGGCUGGAUUAGAAACAUCAAGAGGCCCA